UCUCCGUUGGUGAACCAGCGGAGGGAUCAUUGCUGGAAUAACACGCCUUCACAGGCGUGAACCCAGAUAACCCUUUUGUGAAUCUUACCUAUUCGUUGCCUCGGUUUUGGUUGGCUUUCUUCUAAUAGAAGCCCCCGCUGUUUUAUUACAGCGGGAGCAGACCGGCCGGUGGCCCCCUAAACUCUUUAUUUUUGUAACGCCAUUCUGAGUACUAUAAAAAAAAAAUGAAUCAAAACUUUCAACAACGGAUCUCUUGGUUCUGGCAUCGAUGAAGAACGCAGC
Molecule: unclassified non-coding RNA, 282 nt
Filed under: uncultured fungus
Lineage: Eukaryota; Fungi
Description: sequence contains ITS1, 5.8S rRNA gene
Rfam family: 5.8S ribosomal RNA (bases 234-282)
Source: RNAcentral